RNAcentral lists this ribosomal RNA (555 nucleotides) under uncultured bacterium. RNAcentral describes it as "partial 16S ribosomal RNA". It matches the Rfam family "Bacterial small subunit ribosomal RNA", at positions 356 to 901 of the family's 1533-position model. The record is from RNAcentral.
AGGGAAUCUUCCACAAUGGACGCAAGUCUGAUGGAGCAACGCCGCGUGAGUGAAGAAGGUUUUCGGACCGUAAAGCUCUGUUGUUGGUGAAGAAGGAUAGAGGUAGUAACUGGCCUUUAUUUGACGGUAAUCAACCAGAAAGUCACGGCUAACUACGUGCCAGCAGCCGCGGUAAUACGUAGGUGGCAAGCGUUGUCCGGAUUUAUUGGGCGUAAAGCGAGCGCAGGCGGAAGAAUAAGUCUGAUGUGAAAGCCCUCGGCUUAACCGAGGAAUUGCAUCGGAAACUGUUUUCUUGAGUGCAGAAGAGGAGAGUAGAACUCCAUGUGUAGCGGUGGAAUGCGUAGAUAUAUGGAAGAAUACCAGUGGCGAAGGCGGCUCUCUGGUCUGCAACUGACGCUGAGGCUCGAAAAGCAUGGGUAGCGAACAGGAUUAGAUACCCUGGUAGUCCAUGCCGUAAACGAUGAGUGCUAAGUGUUGGGAGGCUUCCGCCUCUCAGUGCUGCAGCUAACGCAUUAAGCACUCCGCCUGGGGGAGUACGACCGCAAGGUUGAAACU